AGUUAUAGCUGUGUGAUCUUGGACAAGCCACUAAACUUCUCUGAGCCUUACUUUCCUCGGUGAUGAAGUGUUUAAUGAGCUCUCUGAUCUGAUACUCUGUGAGUCUAAUAUUAUUACAAGAUUUAGCCCUCCUUACCCCUCAGUUUUUUCCCCCUUAUGUGAUUGAAAACUAACUUUGAAAACAUUUCCGAAAUUUGAUAUCCAAAGGAAAAAUGAGAUACAUAGGAAAAAAUAUGGUUUUCGCUUUUCCUAUAGGCCACGGUAUAGCAGAUAUGUGCAGAGAUGUUUGUUGAUAAGUUAGUGAAGCUGUAUCGACCCAGCUCUGUGUUAACAGUCCAACAGGCUACUAUGAGGUGAAUCUGACCAUGGAGUUGGAGGAAAUAAGCCAGACCCCACGCCCACAUGAAUAAAGGUGGUAAUAGGUGUUGAACACUAGCCUUGACCUCAAGUCCAAAGCAGGCUUUGGAUUCACUGAAGGUAAUAGCUCAUUUCCAGGCCGAGGACCUGAAUUUUGUUUACUUCUCCUGGCUGUGCAAAAAGCACAUUCAAGUGAAUGACACAAACAAUGCAACCGCAGUGCAUGUUGUAGACUCGGGCAGCUGCAGGCGGUCGGCACCAGCCCGGGAUUGAGGUGGAGUCACUGCUGUGGAGCCGCAUUGCAGCCCCGCCCACCAUCGCUGUCCACCCCUAGACCAUUCCUGACCAAGCAGCAUGCACCGCGCGGGCAGUUCCAUCCUCAAGUUUUUAAAACCAAGGGGAACUUGUAUACUGGGCCUGUUUUUCAGCCUGUUUGCUACCUUUUUUUGCACUCUAUCCCGUGUGAAUUUUACAGACACUGGGCUCCAAAGAGUAUUUGGACACCUGGACACACAUUCCUAGAAUGUCACCAUAUGGUCCUAACUCCAUGUCACCAAAUGACACAGACAAGAUCCUGUUUACAACGACUCUUUUCUUUUUUUUUUAAUUUCUGAUCUUUCUGAGGAGAUGAUUAUCUAUGGCAUAUCUAUAGCUAUAUGUAUGGCCAUAGAUGUAUUUCUGUGUGUACAUAUGUAUAGCCGUGUAUUCCUACAUAUGUACAUACAAAUACAGAGAUAUAUAAAGUACAUAGAAACUCCUGACUUGUAAAUAGCCAAAAGGUACUGACAUGAAUAUGAAUUUUCACACUUAAUCAUCAACAUGAAGCCAUGUUUAAUGCUUGUAUAAUGUGAUGCAAUAAAAUUUAAAAU
RNAcentral lists this long non-coding RNA (1226 nucleotides) under Heterocephalus glaber (naked mole-rat). RNAcentral describes it as "lncRNA (ENSHGLG00100048473.1)". Lineage: Eukaryota; Metazoa; Chordata; Mammalia; Rodentia; Bathyergidae. The record is from RNAcentral.